UACGAAGGGGGCUAGCGUUGCUCGGAAUCGCUGGGCGUAAAGGGUGCGUAGGCGGGUCUUUAAGUCAGGGGUGAAAUCCUGGAGCUCAACUCCAGAACUGCCUUUGAUACUGAGGAUCUUGAGUUCGGGAGAGGUGAGUGGAACUGCGAGUGUAGAGGUGAAAUUCGUAGAUAUUCGCAAGAACACCAGUGGCGAAGGCGGCUCACUGGCCCGAUACUGACGCUGAGGCACGAAAGCGUGGGAGCAAACAGGG
Molecule: ribosomal RNA, 253 nt
Filed under: uncultured bacterium
Lineage: Bacteria
Description: partial 16S ribosomal RNA
Rfam family: Bacterial small subunit ribosomal RNA
Source: RNAcentral